AGUGAACGCUGGCGGUAGGCCUAACACAUGCAAGUCGAACGGCAGCACAGUAAGAGCUUGCUCUUACGGGUGGCGAGUGGCGGACGGGUGAGGAAUACAUCGGAAUCUACUUUUUCGUGGGGGAUAACGUAGGGAAACUUACGCUAAUACCGCAUACGACCUACGGGUGAAAGCAGGGGAUCUUCGGACCUUGCGCGAUUGAAUGAGCCGAUGUCGGAUUAGCUAGUUGGCGGGGUAAAGGCCAACCAAGGGGACGAUCCGUAGCUGGUCUGAGAGGAUGAUCAGCCACACUGGAACUGGGACACGGUCCAGACUCCUACGGGAGGCAGCAGUGGGGAAUAUUGGACAAUGGGCGCAAGCCUGAUCCAGCCAUACCGCGUGGGUGGAGAAGGCCUUCGGGUUGUAAAGCCCUUUUGUUGGGAAAGAAAAGCAGCAGGUUAAUACCCCGCUGUUCUGACGGUACCCAAAGAAUAAGCACCGGCUAACUUCGUG
RNAcentral lists this ribosomal RNA (492 nucleotides) under uncultured bacterium. RNAcentral's name for it is "partial 16S ribosomal RNA". It matches the Rfam family "Bacterial small subunit ribosomal RNA", at positions 29 to 507 of the family's 1533-position model. The record is from RNAcentral.